UACGUAGGGUGCAAGCGUUGUCCGGAAUUAUUGGGCGUAAAGAGCUCGUAGGCGGUUGGUCGCGUCGGCUGUGAAAACCCGGAGCUCAACUCCGGGCCUGCAGUCGAUACGGGCAGACUAGAGUUCGGUAGGGGAGUCUGGAAUUCCUGGUGUAGCGGUGAAAUGCGCAGAUAUCAGGAGGAACACCGGUGGCGAAGGCGGGACUCUGGGCCGAUACUGACGCUGAGGAGCGAAAGCGUGGGGAGCAAACAGG
RNAcentral lists this ribosomal RNA (253 nucleotides) under uncultured bacterium. Its description in RNAcentral is "partial 16S ribosomal RNA". It matches the Rfam family "Bacterial small subunit ribosomal RNA", at positions 524 to 776 of the family's 1533-position model. The record is from RNAcentral.